GAUGAAGAACGCAGCGAAAUGCGAUAAUUAAUGUGAAUUGCAGAAUUUAGUGAAUCAUCGAAUCUUUGAACGCACAUUGCGCCCCUUGGUAUUCCGGGGGGCAUGCCUGUUCGAGCGUCAUUUCAACCCUCAAGCUCUGCUUGGUCUUGGGCCGCGCCGGCGACGGCGGGCCUCAAAAACAGUGGCGGCGCCAUCUGGUUCCUCAGCGUAGUAAUUCUUCUCGCUGUUGGGCCCGGGUGGCCGCUGGCCAGCAACCCCAAAUUUUCUAUGGUUGACCUCGGAUCAGGUAGGGAUACCCGCUGAACUUAAGCAUAUCAAUAAGCGAGGA
This 328-nucleotide unclassified non-coding RNA is filed under the name soil metagenome. RNAcentral's name for it is "partial contains 5.8S ribosomal RNA, internal transcribed spacer 2, and large subunit ribosomal RNA". The stretch from base 1 to 120 matches the Rfam family "5.8S ribosomal RNA", at positions 35 to 154 of the family's 154-position model. The record is from RNAcentral.